GUAGUCCACGCCGUAAACGAUGCAUGCUAGACGUUGGAAACCUCACGGUUUCUUGUGUCGCAGCUAACGCACUAAGCAUGCCGCCUGGGGAGUACGGCCGCAAGGUUGAAACUCAAAUGAAUUGACGGGGGCCCGCACAAGCGGUGGAGUAUGUGGUUUAAUUCGACGCAACGCGAAGAACCUUACCAACCUUUGACAUGUCCAGUAUGGAUCUAGGAGACUAGGUCCUUCAGUUCGGCUGGCUGGAACACAGGUGCUGCAUGGCUGUCGUCAGCUCGUGUCGUGAGAUGUUGGGUUAAGUCCCGCAACGAGCGCAACCCUCAUCUCUAGUUGCCACCAGGUAAGGCUGGGCACUCUAGAGAAACCGCCGGUGAUAAGCCGGA
Molecule: ribosomal RNA, 383 nt
Filed under: uncultured bacterium
Lineage: Bacteria
Description: bacterial SSU rRNA
Rfam family: Bacterial small subunit ribosomal RNA
Source: RNAcentral